Molecule: ribosomal RNA, 360 nt
Filed under: uncultured bacterium
Lineage: Bacteria
Description: bacterial SSU rRNA
Rfam family: Bacterial small subunit ribosomal RNA
Source: RNAcentral
AUUGAACGCUGGCGGCAUGCCUUACACAUGCAAGUCGAACGAGACCUUCGGGUCUAGUGGCGCACGGGUGCGUAACGCGUGGGAACCUGCCUUUAGGUUCGGAAUAACUCAGAGAAAUUUGAGCUAAUACCGGAUAAUGUCUUCGGACCAAAGAUUUAUCGCCUUUAGAUGGGCCCGCGUUGGAUUAGCUAGUUGGUGGGUAAAGGCCUACCAAGGCGACGAUCCAUAGCUGGUCUGAGAGGAUGAUCAGCCACACUGGGACUGAGACACGGCCCAGACUCCUACGGAGGCAGCAGUGGGAAUAUUGGGACAAUAGGGCGGAAAGCCUGAUCCAGCCAUGCCGCGUGUGUGAUGAAGGCC